This 3132-nucleotide long non-coding RNA is filed under the name Setaria viridis. RNAcentral describes it as "long non-coding RNA (SVIR_LNC002648)". The record is from RNAcentral. Lineage: Eukaryota; Viridiplantae; Streptophyta; Magnoliopsida; Poales; Poaceae.
UGGAUUUUGGAGCCAAGGGUGAUGGAGUUACAGAUGAUACUCAGGUCACCAUCACUGCUUUCAAAAUACUCUGCUUCCAACUAGGACACUUUUGUCACCUGCAUCGCAUAUUUCAAGUCAGAAUUUCUUUUUCCAGGCAUCAUGGUAUACUUAGUUUGUUUUCACAGUUACUAUUACUACCCUCAAAUGACUGACUCAAGCUAAUGUCCAUCCGCAUAACAUCUCACUAUAAGAGUUCAUCAACUUUACAAUGCCCCUAGUAUUGGAAUUUCAAAUAAACGCUCACCCUGUAACAUUAUUUCACAUUGAUCACAUUUCCUGCAGGAAGUAUUCUUAAAAAAUAAAUGUUUUUAAAAUGCUAUCAUAUAUUCUCACUAAGCACACUUCAGGACAUGAUUGCCAAAGCUACUGUUUUCCUUUAGGAAAAAUGGUCACAUGAUAUUGUUUGCAUGCAUUAGCCUUUAAAAAUGGUUACGUUACAUGCUAUUAUAUCGUUCAUUGUUCAAGGUUGGAGUCUGACAUCACAGUACAAGUGCAUAUGGAGCCACAACCUAGAUUUAUUUUUCUAAGAUUGUUCUUUUUCCCACAUGAUUGGGUGCAUUUCUGGGAAGGCAUACACAUCAUGCUAGACACUGCAUUUUGGGGUCGAAGGAAAUGGACACCACGUAAUGACACUGCAUUUCCAAAGAAUAUGUCAAUCCCUAAAUUCAGUAUGGACAUGGGAGAUAUCGAGUCUUUUUGUCUUUCUGUGUCCUUGCUUUUUCACGAGCAUAAAGAAUUUUAUGCUGAACUGAAAUUAGAACUUAUGUCAUCACCUGAGAAAUUACCCUAGUUCUAUCACCUAAAGUUAACCAGAGUAAAACAUAUUAUAGAAUAAUAUAAUAAUUUAGCCUUCUCUAUUUAGAGUAACACAUAUAUGCUGAUAAUCAUGCGCAGCGCAGUAAAAGAAACUUCCAACAGCAACGGGAAUCUGAGUGUACACUUGUGAUCACUGCUAAUGAUAUAAUGAAACUGAGCAGCGCACAUUCCCAAUGAGCUGAACUAAAUAAUUGCAAUAUAUAUACAGGCUUUUGAAGCAGCAUGGGCAGCAGCAUGCAAGGUGGAGGCAUCUACGGUUCUUGUACCAUCUGAACUCGAGUUUGUCGUUGGCCCAGUCUCAUUUUCUGGGCCUUACUGUAAACCAAACAUUCUAUUCCAGGUAAAUAUACUUCAGAACCCUAACAUGUGUCCUUAUAUAACAAGAUAUAAGGCUUGUACUUUUUUUCCGGCCAUAUCGCACUACUUGUGAAACUACAUAUAUUAACCACCACAGAGUUUUAUCCAAUAAAGAACAUAUACGUAGUUUUGCGCUCUUUGUGCACCUUCCUAAUUCUACACAUUGCAGUUUCGACUUUCAAGUCAACAGACAGAUUGGCUUAGUGUUUCCUGAAACUAACUAAAUAUUUCGACUUAGCAUGUCAGUAUCGUCUGCUUUUGCUGUUUCAUUAUACACCUUAAAACAUAUUAAUGAAUGUAUGUUUGUUUGCCAAAGAAUGUGAAAUAAAAUGAAGAGCUCUAUACUCUAUCCCUGACCUCGUUACAAUCAGAAUGGGCAAAUCACGCAACAAAGCAUAAUCAAAAUGAAGAACAAAGUACAUAAGCAAAAAAUACUAGUACUAAAUGACAUGUUUUAAUUGUGCAGCUAGAUGGAACUAUUUUAGCUCAAACUAGUGCAAGAGUGUGGGGUUCUGGUUUGCUUCAAUGGCUUGAGUUCACGAAGCUAACUGGAAUAGCAAUCCAAGGCAGUGGUGUAAUAAAUGGCAGGGGGCAAGAAUGGUGGACCUACUCAGAUCCAAAUGAUGAUGACGACAACGAUGCAGUAAGACCUGAUCAUCUAACAACAUCCUACUUAUAGAUAAGUUUUUUUUAUGGAUACUUAUAGACAAGUUGAAAGUAGACAAAUUUAAUUGCUUACCUGGGUGCUUUCCAACAGUUCAGAGUGGAGCUAGACAAGAUGCCACAAAUUAAACCUACGGUAAGUAGACUACUAUUACAGCACUUACCUUUCUUCUAAUUGCAAACAAAAAAAAUUACAGCUAUGGUUUCUUACUCUGAUGCAGGCGCUGAGAUUUUAUGGCAGUUCCAAUGUCACAGUAACGGGUAUCACGAUUGUUAACAGUUCACAGUGCCAUCUGAAGUUUGAUAGCUGUCAAGGAGUCAUGGUUCAUGAUUUAACCAUCUCUUCCCCUGAGAAUAGUCCCAACACUGAUGGAAUACACCUGCAAAACUCCAGAGAAGUCAACAUUCACCACACCAACAUGGCUUGCGGUAAUGCUCAUAGAAUUCAUAUCAAGCAGUUACUCAAUAGUUCUAAAAGAAGUAGUUACUCAAUAGUUCUAAAAAAGUAUUUACCCGAUACGGCCAGCCAUUUGUGCUCAUUAAACUAGUUUACAAGAAUUAGUUAAAAAGCCACCUCAUGUAGUAUAUAGAUACAAAGACAUUCUGCUAACCAGUCACUUUAGAUAACUGCAGAACUUCUAAAAAAGCAAUAUUUUCAGGACUAAGGGAGCAAGCUCAAAAACACUAGCAGGACCUGGAUUAUCGACAGAUUUCUUCUAAAAGUAAAACUUGUUAUUAACAAUGAAUUUUGUGCCUUGUGCAAUGCAGGUGAUGACUGUGUUUCCAUACAGACAGGAUGCAGUGACAUAAACAUACAUAACGUGAACUGUGGACCAGGCCAUGGGAUCAGCAUUGGUGGUCUAGGGAGGUACAACACAAAAGCAUGUGUAUCCAACGUCACUGUAAGAGAUGUCAACAUGGUUAAAACAACGAAUGGGGUCAGAAUCAAGACUUGGCAGGUAAGCAUAACCUGACAACUCCAGAGCUUUUCAUCCACCAAGUACAGCUACACUCGCCGAGCUAAACGUGCUGACAUCUUGAUGCAGGGUGGUUCCGGGCUGGUUCAGGGUAUAAGGUUCUCAAACAUACAGGUCUCAGAAGUUCAAACGCCUAUCAUAAUAGACCAAUUCUACUGUGACAAAACAACGUGCAGAAAUCAAACCUCAGCAGUGGCGGUUUCAGGUGUUCAGUAUGAGAACAUCAGGGGGACUUUCACAAUUAAACCGGCCCACUUUGCGUGCAGCGACAGCUCGC